GAGGAGUGCCACGCUUACAAAUAUAUAGACUCACUAAAAAAGCAAUCCCCGACUUCAUAUGCAAAUUUAAUUGGCUUAUAUCUAGUAGAAGGCGAGUUUGUAUGCGUUCUUUUACUAAAGUUAAAAGAGAAAGUCCCCCACAACCAAAAGACUAUUAUAGACUGGAUUUUAAAAACUUUGAGCCUUUUGGGGAACAAUGAACUUCAAUCAAGGAUUUCGGAAGCCAUGAGUGCUGUUUCCAUUGAAAAUAAUGAAAGCAAGC
Molecule: long non-coding RNA, 262 nt
Organism: Zophobas morio
Lineage: Eukaryota; Metazoa; Arthropoda; Insecta; Coleoptera; Tenebrionidae
Exons: 3
Source: RefSeq, a predicted model, not a curated record